Molecule: ribosomal RNA, 496 nt
Filed under: uncultured bacterium
Lineage: Bacteria
Description: partial 16S ribosomal RNA
Rfam family: Bacterial small subunit ribosomal RNA
Source: RNAcentral
AUGAACGCUGGCGGCGUGCCUAAUACAUGCAAGUCGAGCGAACGGACGAGAAGCUUGCUUCUCUGAUGUUAGCGGCGGACGGGUGAGUAACACGUGGAUAACCUACCUAUAAGACUGGGAUAACUUCGGGAAACCGGAGCUAAUACCGGAUAAUAUUUUGAACCGCAUGGUUCAAAAGUGAAAGACGGUCUUGCUGUCACUUAUAGAUGGAUCCGCGCUGCAUUAGCUAGUUGGUAAGUUAACGGCUUACCAAGGCAACGAUGCAUAGCCGACCUGAGAGGGUGAUCGGCCACACUGGAACUGAGACACGGUCCAGACUCCUACGGGAGGCAGCAGUAGGGAAUCUUCCGCAAUGGGCGAAAGCCUGACGGAGCAACGCCGCGUGAGUGAUGAAGGUCUUCGGAUCGUAAAACUCUGUUAUUAGGGAAGAACAUAUGUGUAAGUAACUGUGCACAUCUUGACGGUACCUAAUCAGAAAGCCACGGCUAACUACGUG